RNAcentral lists this long non-coding RNA (278 nucleotides) under Panax ginseng (ginseng). Its description in RNAcentral is "long non-coding RNA (PGIN_LNC006892)". Lineage: Eukaryota; Viridiplantae; Streptophyta; Magnoliopsida; Apiales; Araliaceae. The record is from RNAcentral.
ACAGGAGACGGACCAGUCAACAAAGAAGACGCCAGAGGCAUCUUCAGUCAACCGACAGUGAUGGCCCCAACCAUCAUCAGCUUUUGCUUUCCGUAAAGCAAAAGUCUUUUACUUUAGUAAAUGUAAAAGUAAAAGUAAAAGAAUAACUUUUGCUUUUACUUAAGUUAAAUGUUUUUAACUUAGUUAAAUGUUUCUUACAUUUACCAAUGUAAAAGUAAAUGUAAAAUGUUUCUUACGUUUUACUUUUACUUAAGUAAAUUACUUUUACUUCAGUUAAU